UACGAAGGGGGCGAGCGUUGUUCGGAAUUACUGGGCGUAAAGGGCGCGUAGGCGGCGAUCCUAGUCAGAUGUGAAAGUCCUGGGCUUAACCUGGGGACUGCAUUUGAUACUGGAUUGCUUGAAUUCGGGAGAGGAUAGCGGAAUUCCCAGUGUAGAGGUGAAAUUCGUAGAUAUUGGGAAGAACACCGGUGGCGAAGGCGGCUAUCUGGACCGACAUUGACGCUGAGGCGCGAAAGCGUGGGGAGCGAACAGG
RNAcentral lists this ribosomal RNA (253 nucleotides) under uncultured bacterium. RNAcentral describes it as "partial 16S ribosomal RNA". It matches the Rfam family "Bacterial small subunit ribosomal RNA", at positions 524 to 776 of the family's 1533-position model. The record is from RNAcentral.